This 12109-nucleotide long non-coding RNA is filed under the name Capsicum annuum. RNAcentral's name for it is "long non-coding RNA (CANN_LNC002509)". The record is from RNAcentral. Lineage: Eukaryota; Viridiplantae; Streptophyta; Magnoliopsida; Solanales; Solanaceae.
UUCUCAUGUUCUUGUGCUCUAUUAAGGGAUUUAGGUUCCUGAAUGGUAUUCUAGAUCCAAGUAAGCUCAACCUCUUCUCCUUCCUUAGCAUUAGUCAACAUUCUAUUACUUACCUCUAAUUGAACUUCGAUGUAGUUACGGCCGAUAUGGAGAUAAUGAGAUGCUUGGAACCGUAAGUAAUUGGACUAUAAUGAUUCUUUUGGGUGUAAUGAUUUCAAGUAUCUCACAUGACCCUCCCAUUUUGCUGCGAAUUCUUUUUGAUGGCUGACAUGGAUUAGGCUAGCUGAAUCCUCCAGCAAAUAUGUUGAAGACCAUUCAAAAGAAUUCAUGAGAGAAAGAAUUCAAACAUCUUUUGAAUGGUCUUCAACAUAUUUGCUGGAGGAUUCAUAACCGACAAACAGUGACUAAGAAUACUUUGUAAAACAUAUCUAAUCAGACUAGCUCUUCCUCUAUAGGACAAUAAUUUUUCCUUCCAACCUUGUAGCUUAUUGCUUAUCUUAUUCAUUAUAGGUUGAUAGUAAUCUUUCUUUUUCCUCAUAUGAAAAGUAGGGCUACCUAAAUACAUAAAAGGAAAAUCUUUCCAUAUGAUCCCUGCAACAAUUUCAGCCAUUACCACUAUCCCUUGAGAUACUUCUUUGUGCAAAUAUAUUGCACUCUUCUCUUUGUUGAUUUUUUUAUCCUGACACCUUUUUAUAUUUGUCCAAAGUAGAAGUCACUUUUUGCAAAGUAACUAAGUCAACUUUGCACAAUAUGAUCAUAUCAUUCGCAAAAGCAAAGUGAUUUACCUUUGGGCUUUCUCUUGGCAUCCCAAAUACCUUAAACUCUUUGUUAGUAACCAAAGAUUUGAAGGCUCUGGAUAUCACUUCUGCAGCCAGAAUAAAUAGGGUUGGUGAUAAAGGAUCAACUUAUUUCAACGCUCUGUAGGAUCUAAAAAACCCUUUAGAUUGACCAUUCAAUAAUAUGGAAUACCAAUUGUUGCUAACCAAUCUGUAUACCAUAUCAAUGAUCAGUUCACUAAACCCCACCUUUCUCAUUACUUUAGUUAGAAACAACCAAAUCACCCUAUCAUAAACCUUCAUCAUAUCCAAUUUAAUAAUUAUAUUAGGAAUGUUACCUCUCUUCUUGAUAUCUAAUAUAAUUUCUUGAACCACCAGAAUAUUCUCUGCAAUACUCCUUAUUUGAAUAAAGCCAACUUGUUCUACAGAAAUAAUGUCAGGCAGAACUUUAUUAAUCCUCUCAUGAAUGAUUCUAGAAAUGAUUUUACUUACAAAAUUACUUAAAGAAAUAGGCCUCAUAUCAGAAAAAUUAUUUACAGCUAACUUUUUGGAUAGAAGUAUCAGAUUUGUAUGGGUUACAAAAUUUGGUAGUUCAUACUCACAAAAGAAAGCUACCACUAUUUUGUACACAUCCUCCUUAAUAAUGCCCCAUGCAUCCUGAAAGUAAGCUCCUGUCAUACCAUCGGACCUGCCGUACUAAUUCUAUUCAGCCCCAUACUACAUCCCUAACUUCUUGCAUUUCUGGAAUCUUAUUAAGCUCUUCCUUGUGAAUAUCAUUCAAUAUUGUUGGCAAUUCAUCAACAUAUCAAAAUCUGUAUUAUCUUCCCCUUUAGAGAAUUGCUUCUGAAAAAAUUGAAUGGUUGUUUCUGCUAUCUGAUUUUGAUCUUCCAUCCAUUCACCUUCAUAAUUUUGUAUUCUUUGCACCUUGAGUCUAUUUUUUUUCAUUAACCACAGUGUUAAAGAACUUGGUAUUUCUCUCACCAUUCUCAAACCACUCUAACCCUACUUUCUGCCUCCAGAACUCCUCUUCUCUACUAGCUGAACAUUUAAUUUAGCUUGAGAUUUAAACAAGAGCUCUCUAUUUAAACCUGAAGGGACCUUUUCAAACUAUUUUUCUCUCACCAUAAUAACUUAUUCAGAGUUGCAAUCUCUUGAAAGAUAUUACCAAAGCACUCGUUGCUCCAAACUGUUAAAGCUGCCUUCACUCUUCUCAAUUUAUGAUGAAAUAUUAGAAAUGAAUUCCCCAUUACUUCAGUUUCCAAUUCUCUUUUAUAACCUCCAGACAUGACUUCUCUUUCAGCCACAUGUUGAGAAAUCUGAAUGGUUUUGGUAAUAUCCUCAUUCGUAGUACAACAACAACAACAAACCCAGUGUAUUCCCACUUAGUGGGGUCUGGGGGGGUAAGAUGUACGCAGUCCAUACCUCUACCUCUGAUGAAGUAGAAAGGCUGUUUUCGAAAGACCCCCGGCUCAAGGCACAAGAUAUCACACAAACACAUAGUAAAGCACAGAAGCAGAUGACAUAACAUAAAUACGACACCCAUAAGGAAUAUAAAACAGAGGAAAGCAGAGGAAAGCACACAGAUUUGUAAUAAGCAUGGAACACUGAAUACGGAAUCAUAACGGGAAUAAAAAAUAAAAAAAACCCCCACCAAGUAAUCCCAACACUAGCGACCCAAUCUGGCCCUACUCUUCUGCCGUAAUUCGCGUCUUCCAGACCUUCCUAUCUAGGGUCAUGUCCUCGGUAAGCUGUAACUGUUCCAUGUCCCGCCUAAUCACCUCACCCCAGUACUUCUUCGGUCUACCCCUACCCCGUCUAAAACCAUCCAACGCUAGCCUCUCACACCUACGGACCGGGGCAUCCAUGCCCCUCCUCUUCACGUGUCCGAACCAUCUCAAUCGUGCUUCCCGCAUCUUACACUCCACUGAAGUCACACCAACCUUCUCCCGGAUAGUCUCAUUCCGAACUCUAUCCCCUCGAGUCAGUCCACACAUCCAGCGCAACAUCCGCAUUUCUGCCACCUUCAUUUUUUGGAUGUGGGAGUUCUUAACUGGCCAACACUCCGCUCCAUACAGCAAGGCCGGACGGACUACCACCCUAUAGAAUUUGCCUUUAAGCUUGGGCGGCACCUUCUUAUCACACAGCACCCCCGAUGCAAGUUUCCACUUCAUCCAUCCCGCCCCGAUACGGUGCGAGACAUCCUCGUCAAUCUCACCGUUACUCUGGAUCACGGACCCGAGGUACUUGAACUUAUCCCUUUUCUUUACCUCCUGCGCUUCUAGCCUCACCACUACCUCAUUCUCUCGCCUUACGUCAUUAAACUUACAUUCCACAUACUCUGUCUUGGUUCUGCUCACCCUGAACCCUUUAGACUCCAGAGUUUGCCUCCACAGCUCUAAUUUGUCGUUCACACCCCCUCGCGUCUCAUCUAUCAGGACUACAUCGUCUGCAAAAAGCAUACACCACGGCACCUCCCCUUGGAUACGCCGCGUUAACACAUCCAUUACUAGCGCAAACAAAAAGGGACUAAGAGUAGAUCCCUGAUGCAAUCCUGUCAGGACAGUGAAAUGCUCUGAGUCUCCUCCCGCCGUCCUCACCUGGGUUUUCGCUCCCUCAUACAUAUCCUUAAUUACUCUGCUAUAUGCCUGCGGUACUCCACUCACCUCCAAGCAUCUCCAAAGCACCUCCCUGGGGACUUUGUCGUACGCCUUUUCUAGGUCGAUGAACACCAUGUGCAAAUCCUUCUUCCUUUCCCUAUAUUGCUCCACCAACCGCCGUACCAGGUGAAUUGCCUCCGUCGUCGAGCGGCCGGGCAUAAAUCCGAACUGAUUUUCCGAGAUAGACACUAUCCGUCUCAGCCUCACCUCGACCACUCUCUCCCAGAUCUUCAUAGAGUGACUCAGUAACUUAAUCCCCCUAUAGUUAUUGCAACACUGAAUGUCCCCCUUAUUCUUAUAGAGGGGGAUCAUGGUACUCCACCUCCACGCCUCGGGCAUCUUUGCUGUCCUGAAAAUUUCAUUGAACAAUGCAGUCAACCACCUUACACCAGCCUCUCCAACGAACUUCCAAAACUCCACCGGUAUCUCAUCCGGCCCCGUCGCCCUACCCCUUCGCAUCCUGCGGACUGCCUGUCUAACCUCGUCUACCUUAAAACGUCUACAAUAGCUAAAAUCCCGACACUCCCCUGAGUGCUCCAGUUCCCCUAACACAAUAGCUCUGUCCCCCUCGUCAUUCAAGAGCCUAUGAAAGUACGACUGCCAUCUCUUCUUUAUGUGGCCGUCCUCCACCAACACUCUACCGUCCUCCCCCUUAAUGCACCGCACCUGAUCGAGGUCACGACCCUUCCUCUCCCUAGCCUUAGCGAGUCGGAACAACUUUUUCUCCCCUCCUUUCCCCUGUAACCCUGCAUACAAGCUCUCAAAAGCAGCCGUCUUAGCUGCCGUGACCGCUGACUUCGCCUCCUUCCUUGCUAGCUUGUACUCUUUCCUGUUUACCCGCUUCUCCUCUUCGUCCUUACUUUCCACCAACUUAGCAUACGACUCUUUCUUGGUCUCCACUUUCUUCCCCACCUCUUCAUUCCACCACCAAUCCCCCCGAUGAUGUCCGGCCCGGCCCCUAGAAACACCCAACACCUCCCUUGCAUUUUCCCUGAUGCACGCUGCCGCCCUGUCCCACAUAUUAUCCACGUCCCCCCUACACUCCCACACCCCCAUUCCCGCCAACCUCUCCCCUAUCUCCCACGCAUUCACUGGCGUCAAACCGCCCCACUUAAUUCUCGGUCUACACUCCUUACUCCUCCUCUUUUUAUUCUUCUUCAUACCCAAAUCCAUAACCAAGAGCCUAUGUUGGGUCGAAAGGUUCUCACUCGGGAUGACUUUACAAUCUUUACACAGCGCCCUAUCCCCUUUCCUAAGCAACAAGAAGUCAAUCUGGGUCCUGGCUACCGCGCUCCGAAAAGUGAUCAGGUGGUCGUCCUUCUUCGGGAAGCCCGAGUUCACCACCACCAGCCCAAACGCCCUCGCAAACUCCAAUAGGGUCGCCCCCUCUUCAUUUCUCUCCCCAAAACCAAAACCUCCAUGCACAUCCCCAAAGCCUCCCGGUAGCGCCCCGAUGUGCCCGUUGAAAUCCCCUGCUACCACAAUCUUCUCCGAACUGGGCACGCCUCUCACCACGUCCUCCAAGGCCUCCCAGAACCGCAUCUUCUCCUCCCCCUCCGAUCCCACAUGCGGCGCAUAGGCACUACACACGUUCAGGGUAAACCCCCGAAUGACCAACUUGAUAGUCAUCAACCUAUCGUUGAUCCUCUUCACCUCCACUACCUGACCUCUAAGCUCUUCAUCUACCAAGAUGCCAACUCCAUUCCUACGCCUGUCGCUCCCAGAGUACCACAGCUUGUAACCGUCCACAUCCCUAGCCUUAGACGCUCCCAGAGUACAACAGCUUGUAACCAUCCACAUCCCUAGCCUUAGACCCUACCCACUUGGUCUCUUGGACACACGCAAGGUUGAUCCUCCUCUUCCUAAGAAUCUUCACAAGCUCUACGGACUUACCCUGAAGGGUCCCUAUAUUCCAAGACCCAUCCCUCAGCCUACCGUCGCUAUCCACACGCCCCCCACUACUUCUGAAUAAAUCUUCUACUUCUAAUACUGUAAAUGAAUCAUGCAAUUCAUCAUUAAAUAGAACUAUAUCCUGUCUUUUAAAAAUACAUUCCUCAUUCGAUUUUCCAUUCUACCAUGUAUAGUUACUUCCAUUGAAACCAUGACCUUCUAAAUUACAUAUAUUUAUGCAAUGUGUGAAGUCAUCAGUUUCUACUACUAUUACUAGUAAACCAACCAGUUUCUAUUCUUGGCUAAUGAUGACAUUAAAGUCCCCCCAUCAACCAUGGUUCUUGAAUUCUCUGAGACAUCUCUUCAAGUGACUCUCAUAACCUUAAUCUGUCGCCUUAUGAACAUUUUGCAUAAAUUAAAGUUACUAUGACUACUACUCCAGCUUUUUGAUUUUCCAGUCUUAAUGUCAGUUGCUGCUCUUCAUCUUCAAUAACUGUAAAGCUAAUACAAGACUGUAAAGCUAAUACAAGACUCCAUAAAAGCCCAUAUUUUACCAGAUAAAUUAGCUGCUGAGUGCUGCAUUCCUAACCUUCUUAUAUAGUCUUCAAUAUUAUGACUAUCCUGAAAUGGCUCCAUUAUCCCUAUAAAAGUGAAGUGAUGUCUUUUUGUAAUGUGAUCAGUCUAAUGAAGGCCUUCUGAGUAUUUACUGACCGAAUAUUCCAAAAUAGAGCAUUCAUCAAGACUUAUUUUUUAAAGAACUCCUAGUCUGCAUUGAACUUUCUUUAGCUCCUUGGUCUCUCUUUCUGUGAAUACCUUGGUCUGCUUUUAAUCUAUCAAUUUGCUGAGGGGACAUGUUGCCUUUAACUUCUACCUUGUCAAUAUUUUUCUCUAAAUCAUUGUAUCCAAAACAACUUUUUCUUCAUUACUAAAAUCAAUCUGGCUUUCAACUUGUAUUUCUAAAGGUAUAAUAUCUUCAAUUACCUUUGUAUUCUCAUCACUAGGUUGAGAGUUAACAAUGGAUAGCCAUAUGUUCUCAUCCUUUUUGUCAUUUGAACUAUGCUGUAAAAUUUCUCAUGUUCUAAGAUUAUGAUCCUCUUCCUUAUCCAUCAUGUGUGUUUGUUUUCUCCCAGUAUCACCAAUCUGAUCUAACACCUUGUCUUCACCUAUUUUGAUAAAAUUGUUGUGACCCAUUCCUUUGUACUUUCUUUACUGACUUCUUGUUGCUUAUCAUUGUCUUUGUUAACAUCAUUAUUAUUCUCAUUAUGUUGCUUCUCUUUUGCAAGAGUAUCAAAAGUAUUGGAAACUGCAAUGUCCUUAGAUUCUUCCUCUUCCACCUCUCCUAAUAUGUGGCCAAAUUUAUCUCUCUUAUACUUAUUGCGCCUGGUUGGCCAUUGUUACUUAUAAUUUCUCCUCAUUUUCUGAUUAUUCUGGAAAGAUUUUGCAUUAUGAUCUUUUUCUCCUUUUACUUGGAGCAUUGUCUCUUCUUCUUUCUCUUCAUUUUUCUUGUCCAUAAGCUCUGGAUGAACAUUCCAAAAAGAGCUUUCAUCGUGUCCUUGUAGACAACACUCUUUAAGUAUUUAGGCUUGUAGUCAUAAUGGAUUUAUACCCACUUGAAUUUUAUUUCUCCAGUGACAUCAUCCUCUUUAUUGAUUCUAACUUUUUUUGGUAGAUUAGCAACCAAAUAAACCUCAACCUUCACUCUUGUACAGCUUGGUCGUGUUUGGUUCUUGGUUGCCAUUUCAACUGUUAACGACUUCCCUACUACUGAAGCUAUUGAAAAAAGAGCUUUUUUAGCAAAAACAUUUAGUGGUAGAUCUGACAUUUAAAUCCAUGCUCAGUCGUAGUUUCCAUAUCUGGAUCAAAUCAAGGGUCCCAUUUUAAUGUUCUGAUCUGCCAAUACAUAUCUUUGGCUUUGAUAUAAUAUGCAGUUGUUAUAUGAGAUUGACAUAAUCUUCUAAAAUAUUCAAUCAAAUGAGUAUGUGUCUUAAAUCUAGUACUCCAAUAUUACAAUCUCCUUUGAUACCACAUUGAUUGGGAAUAUGUUUCCUAAACUCCAUUAUGUCUGGUUUCCCGUAAGAAAAUUUACCAAUAACAACAUAUUAUAAAUUUUCUUGUAUAAUCAAUUUCCUUAUUUCAUAUGACUUCCACGUUAUACUUGGAUCCCCAUGCAGAAUUACAACUAUUUUUGGAGUAAUUUUUUCUACCAUACUACUACUAUCCUUGGGUUUUAAUAAAUUAGCAUAAGUCACCUUCUUUGGAACAUCAACUUCCCCCUCCUUUCAAAUUCCUUUAGUUUCUAACUAUUUUUCGAUGGGUUAACCCCACCAAAGGUGGUGGCCAUAGUGGCCAAAUAGUAAGCUAACUUUUUUAGGUUUAGGGUUUAGAGAAGACUAGAGAGCUUUUUUAGGUUAGUUGUUUUCCAUGUGGGACUGAAAGUAAAUUUAAGUGCAUGACUUAUUGUUUGGAAGUCCUUUUGGAUAAGUCUUUCUUCUAAGACAAGAGUUAUAGAAUAUCUCAUAAAUCAAGACACAAUAUGGUAGUGUCAACACUUGUCCAUUGGGUGUAGCUUAUUUUUGGGUGGUUCUUGGGUUAAGUCUUGUUUUAGAGGCCAAAUUAAUAGACCAUCUCAUAAAUCAAGACACAGUGUAGUAGUGCCAACUUUUAUCCAUGGGUGUAACUUAUGGGCUAAGCAUUGCCUUAAGACAAGAGUUAUAGAAUAUCUCAAAAAUUAAGACACAAUGUAGUAGUGUCAAAUAUUGCCCAUAGAGUGUAACUUGUUGUUUGAAAGUCCUUGGACAAAGUCGUGCCUCUAGGGCAGAGUUAUAGAACACCUCAUAAAUCAAGACAUAAUGUGGUAGUGUCAACUCUUACUCAUGAGCAUAACUUAUUUUCUAAAAGUCCUUAAUUUAUAAAAUAUCUUAUAAAUCAAGACACAAUGUGUUAGUACCAACUCUUGUCCAUGGGGCGUAACUUAUUUUUUAAAAGUUCAUGAGCUAAGUUUUGCCUCUAAGGUAAGAGUUUUAGAGCAUCUCAUAAAUCAAAACAUAAUGUGGUAGUGUUUGCUCUUACCCAUGGGGUGUAACUUGUGGUUUGAAAGUCCUUGGGUUAAGUUUUGCCUCUAAUACAAGAGUUAUAAAACAUCUCAUAAUCAAAACACAAUGUAAUAGUGUUAACUUUUACCUAUGGGGCGAACUUGUUGCUUGAAAGCGCUUGGACUAAGUCUUUUCUCUAAGGGAAGAGUUAUAGAACAUCUCAUAAAUCAAUACACAAUGUGGUAGGGUCACCUCUUUCUCAUAGGGCAUAACUUGUUGUUUGAUGGUCCUUGGACUAAGUCUUGCUUCCAAGGCAAGAGUUAUAAGCAUUUCAUAAGUAAAAACACAAUGUGUUAGUGUUGACUCUGGUCCAAAGCACAUAACUUGUUGUUUGAAAAUCUUUGGAAUAAGUCGUGUCUCUAAGCAAGAGUUGUAGAACAUUUGAUAAAUCAAGACAUAACGUGGUAGUGUCUUGCCCAUAGAGUGUAACUUGUUGUUUAAAAGUCCUUGGGCUAUAUCUUGCCUCUAAGGUAAGAGUUAUAGAACAUCUCAUAAAUCAAAACACAAUGUGGUAGUGUCAACUCUUGUCCCUGGAAAGUAACUUGUUGUUUGAAAGUCCUAAGUCUUGCCUCUAAGACAAGAUUUAUAGAACAUAUCAUAAAUCAAGAUACAAUGUGGUAGUUUCAACUCUUAUCCAUUGGACAUAACUUAUGGUUUGAAAGGAAACGAAGAAAAAAGUAAUAAAAGUUGUGAAAAAUGAAAAAAAUAUUAAGAAAUAAAAAAUAAAAAUAAAAAUAAUAAAAAAGAGAAAAAGAAAGAUAGAAGAGAAAAGGAAAAUAAAUUGAGAAAAAAAAAUAAAAAAUAAAGGCCUAGAAAAAUUUAAAAAUAAAAAAAUAAAAAUCAAAGAAAAAUUUAAAAAAAGAGAAAAAAUUAAAAAGUAAAAGUUGAGAGGAGAAAAGGAAAAAAAAGUAAAGGUUGAGAAAAAUUAUAAAAUAAAAGAGAGAGAAAAUAAAAUAAAUCAAAGUAAAAUAAAAAAGAAAACAUAAUAGAAAAAACAGAAGUUAGAGGUGAAAAGGAAAAAAGUAAGGGUUGGGAAAACUUGACAAAAAAAUGAAAAAGGAAAAAUAAAAAUCAAAGUAAAAUAAAAAAAUGAAAGAAAGUUGAAAGGUAAAUAAGUAUGUAGUUGAUUAGAAAUAUUUGAGAUAUACAGGGACAAAUAGUUAUUUGUUCCACAUUUCUUAUGGGGGACAAAAUUUUUAUCUACUAUGAGGAUCAUUUAUGUAGUUUACACGAUCCGAGCAAUGCAUGUACUCAAUAUUAAAGUAGAAAAAUUAAAAUUAAUUAUAGGCGAAAUGGUUUGGUGGACCCUUGUACUUGUCUAAGUUUGUAAAAUGAACACCUAUAUUUAGCAUUUUGUUAUCUGAACCCUCAACUGAAUAAAACUCAACAUUUUAAAUCCUAUUUUGGUAUGUGAUAUACAACGCCUCCACGUCAAUUUCAACGUUAUUUUAAAAUGCUACAUUAAAUUUCACAUUUUUUUUGAAUGACAUAUAAAAGAUUAAAUAUUAAAAAAAUAAAUUACAUAUAAAAAAUAAAUAGCAUAAAAUCAAAUUUAAAACAAAACCAAAAAAAAAAGUUCCCCCCUCCAGUUUUAGUUUACUCGUUUCUCCCCCUUCCCCACUUUUUUCUUCUUCUUUGUCUUUCUGCUCCUAUGCUUCAACCCAACAACACUCUCCAUCUCUCUCAAUAUUCUAUCAAUCAAAUAAACUAAAUUCACCCGUUAUCAUAAUUUUUUGACAAGAUCAGGGACGGUUGGACAACUUCAUUAAAGGAAAAACUACAUGGAGUAGCAUACCUAAGUCUUAAAUUAUAAAAAAUAGCAACACUUUAAUAAAAUUACACUCGUAGCAAAAAUAAUAUUAUUUUAAUGUGGUUCCCUACUUUACUACCUUAAAAAAGUUACUGUGUAUAGCUUCCCCUUUUUCGCUUUUCUCGUACUCUUUUCUUUAUUCCUUUUUCACGCCAUUAUCAGAUUUCCUCUUUCAAAUUUCUUUCUUUCGUACAGUUUUUGCACUAUCUGAUAAGGAUGGUGUUCCUCAAUUUUAGGUAAUCAAUUAAUUCCAUUAUCGUAUGUUAUCAGUUCUUUUUUUUGUACUGUAAUCAGUUUCUCCAUUAGCAACUCCAAAUUUAAGAUUUUUAUGCUCUAAUGGCUGAACACACAAUAAAAUCACGAAUAAAUAGGGGUAUACCACCUAUUAAUUUGGUGUCUAAUAAUUCACCAUCUUUUAGUCUUGGAUUAACUCAAACUCAAGACGAUGUAGUUAAAGUUGUUUCAGAUCCUUUAUAGUCGAGGAAAAUUGUGAGUACGAAGGAGAUUAGGUCCAAGUUUUGUAACGAUCCGGUGAAGAUGGCUGAUGUUUUGAAAAAAAAUAAUUGAAGAAAACUUCUUCUCCAAAACAACAAAAAAUAAAAAAAAUAUGAGAAGAAAAGAAAAGCCAAAGAAAUUGCAGAGUCAGGCAAUGUUGAUGACGAUGUUGAGAACUCUUUUACUAGUGAAUCUGAAGAAAACAUAGAAGAAGUGGUAUUUUUCGUUGUAAAUGUAUUUUUAUUUACUAUUAUAUAUUUAGGGAUUUCAGUAAAACUUUUCUCAAAUUUGGGGGUAAUAUGUAUUUUUUCAUAUAUUUCAGUUAAUAUGUAUUUCAGCAAGCUGAUUUUGUGAAGAUUAUAGGUUAAAUAGAUAUUUUUGGUUAACAUGUAUUUAAUUGUAUUUUAGGUGAAGCUGAUAUAUUUAUUUGUAUUUUGUAUAUUACAUGAUAUUUGCUAGGUUGCAUGUAUGAAAAAUACAUUUUUAUAGGAACUACUCAUGAAGAGGUUUUUGACUAUAUGUAUUUUUCUUAUAAUUGAUAUGUAUUUUUCACUAUUUUGGAUUGUUGAAAUGUACAAAUACGUUCUAUGGUUUUGGCCAUAUUUGUAUUUAUUGAAAUACAAAUACACGUAUGUUCUUGGACGUAAUUGUAUUUAUUAAAAUACAAAUACAUUUUGUAGAUUGUGUUAUAGAAAUUUAAAGUGCAUACAAAUACAUAUGCACUUUCAUUGUAUUUUCGUUAUGGUUCAAUAUACAUUUUAAGGUAUAGGGUAGUAUUUUUAUUUUUUUACAUACAUAUCAAAUUUCAUAUGUAUUUUGCUUUAGUGUCAAUUUUGUAUUUUUGGUUUGUUCAAUAUACGUAUGCAUUGAUAUAUGUAUUUUUUGAUGUGUUGGUUGUGUUUAGUUAUUUUUCACAGUUUAAUAAGGUGCGAUUUUACUUUGUAUAGGUGCCGCGUGAUAAAAUUCUUAUUGUAAGAAAACUUUCAAGAUUUGCACCACAUGAUAAUGGCAUUGAGAAAAAUUUACGGGCCAUAUUAAAUAAAGAGCAGUACAAAUAUUUUUGUGACAAUAAUAUCUUUGGGUAUUUCAUGAAGAAGAAACACUAUGUGGUUCAAGCACAAUUGUGCAAAUGUGUUAUGCCCCUUGAGAUAUUGUGGGACUACAACAUGAGAAAACAAGAAGCAAAAGCUCAAAGUGAUGAUGAAGCACCAUUGAGAUCUGUUAGGGAAAGCAAGAUAACUAGUGUCACAGAAGUUUUUGAUGCCUGGUUGUUUAUAAUUUUAUUACAUUACGUAGUUGUCAAGAUUAAUCUGGAUGUUGGUAUUCAUUGUAGAAUUUUUUUUUUUAAUGUUUUGAAGUGAAUCAACCUUACUGAUAUUGAAGUGAAUG